Molecule: unclassified non-coding RNA, 233 nt
Filed under: uncultured fungus
Lineage: Eukaryota; Fungi
Description: sequence contains ITS1
Rfam family: 5.8S ribosomal RNA (bases 1-107)
Source: RNAcentral
GAAAUGCGAUACUUGGUGUGAAUUGCAGAAUCCCGUGAACCAUCGAGUUUUUGAACGCAAGUUGCGCCCGAAGCCUUUUGGCCGAGGGCACGUCUGCCUGGGCGUCACGCAUCGCGUCGCCCCCCACAACUCUCCGUAAGGGGAACUCGUGUUUUGGGGGCGGAUAUUGGUCUCCCGUGCUCAUGGCGUGGUUGGCCGAAAUAAGAGUCCCUUCGAUGCAACUGUACCAUAGA